GACGAACGCUGGCGGCGUGCCUAAUACAUGCAAGUAGAACGCUGAAGCUUGGUGCUUGCACCGAGCGGCUGAGUUGCGAACGGGUGAGUAACGCGUAGGUAACCUUCCUGGUAGCGGGGGAUAACUAUUGGAAACGAUAGCUAAUACCGCAUAAGAGUAGCUGUUGCAUGACAUUUGCUUAAAAGGUGCAAUUGCAUCACUACCAGAUGGAUCUGCGUUUUAUUAGCUAGUUGGUGAGGUAACCGCUCAACAAGGGAACGAUACCUAGCCUAGCUGAGAGGGUGAGCGGCCACACUGGGAACGAGACAAAGCCCAGACUUCUAAGGGAGGCAGCAGUAGGGAAACGUCGGCAAUGGACGGAAGGCUGACCGAGCCAAGCCGCGUGAGGGAAGAAGGGUUUCGGAUCGGAAAGCUCUGUUGUAAGAGAAGAAAGAGUGUGAGAGUGGAAAGUUCACACUGUGACGGUAUCUUACCAGAAAGGGACGGCUAACUACGUG
This 497-nucleotide ribosomal RNA is filed under the name uncultured bacterium. RNAcentral describes it as "partial 16S ribosomal RNA". It matches the Rfam family "Bacterial small subunit ribosomal RNA", at positions 28 to 507 of the family's 1533-position model. The record is from RNAcentral.